CCUUGGUCGCCACGGGAAGGAUUAUCCAGCGCAGGGCGACCUGCGUCCAGCCCGCUGGAAGCCUAUCUGCAUCCCGACAGGAACGGCGCGCUGAUGCUCGGUGAGUCCCGGCGCUUCCCUGACCGCGCUCAUCAUUUGCUCCCCCCGCCCUGAGCGUCGGCGGCUUUCCAGACGCGCAGUUAUCUGCGCGCUGCCGGAACGCACCGAUUCUGACCUUCGCAUGGUAGACCUGCCGCCGCACAAGGGCCGCCUGCGGUGGAGCACACGCAAGAGCCCUUCUGUGGGUGGCCCUGCCGAGCCUCAGUAGCUCCUGCAGCGGCCAACUACGCCGACCAGCGGCGAGGGUGAAUCACCCAACGCUCCAGGUACACCAUCCGCGCAUUCAUCGGAGCCCCCCGGUACCCCGGGUACAGCCGGCCUGGCAGUCAGCCGGCGCGUUCCACUCUUUCUGGGCGAUGGGUCAAUACUGCAUUAAUGACAACGUUCUCUGACCUCCUGGAGAACUCUCCCAGCGGCCUCAGUCGGGGGCAUACCUUGUGCAGGAAGGUGAACCUGCUGAACGAGGUGCAUCAUGGUCGUUGUGCUGAGGCUCGGACUGGUCGCAGGCUUGAUCUACCUGCUGGUACUCAUCGGGGUGGCGUUGUCCAUCGGCUCGGCAGCCGAUGCGACCAGCGAGAUCCGGGAAGGCCGCUGUCCGAACAACAUCAGGGUCACGCUGCUGCCCGGCCGCUGGCUGGUCUUCCACCUGGAGAAGGUCGGUGAGGUCCAUGUCGUCGGCCCCUUCAAGCACAUACCGAAGAAGGAGGGCUCGUACACGGGCUACUUCCCCCCGUAUCCGUCACACCGCCCGCCAUACGCGCCGGAUAGGGACCCGAAGAUACGCCACGUCGGCUAUCCGCGUGAAUUCCCAAUCGACCAGGCAAUCUGGUGGGAUGGCAAGCCGGGAGAGACGUUCACUGUCGACCUCGGCUGCGAGCCCGGAGCGGCGUUCCCGCUACCCGACGGCUGGGAGCAGGGCGUCCCGGAGCCCGUCGUGUUCAGGAUCGGGUACCGCGCCAGCGUGCUUGGCGACCGUUGGGAGUCUGUUUCGGCCACCGAGGUGCUCGUCCAUGAGGACCUGCGGCUUGAGGUUCUCG
This 1136-nucleotide unclassified non-coding RNA is filed under the name uncultured fungus. RNAcentral's name for it is "sequence contains 18S rRNA gene, ITS1, 5.8S rRNA gene, ITS2, 28S rRNA gene". Lineage: Eukaryota; Fungi. The record is from RNAcentral.